RNAcentral lists this ribosomal RNA (255 nucleotides) under uncultured bacterium. RNAcentral describes it as "partial 16S ribosomal RNA". It matches the Rfam family "Bacterial small subunit ribosomal RNA", at positions 524 to 776 of the family's 1533-position model. The record is from RNAcentral.
UACAGAGGCCUCAAGCGUUACCCGGAAUCACUGGGCGUAAAGGGUGUGUAGGCGGUCAUAUUAGUCUUUCGUGAAAGAUCUUCGGCUUAACCGAGGAGACGCGGGAGAAACGGUAUGACUCAGAGGAUGUGAGAGGUACAGGGAACUCAAGGUGUAGGGGUGAAAUCCGUUGAUAUCUUGGGGAACACCAAAUGCGAAGGCACUGUACUGGCACACUCCUGACGCUGAAACACGAAAGCGUGGGAAUCGAACGGG